CAUCAUGUAAUUUUCGACUCUAAAUCAUGUUGAAAUCCCGUUCACGAGUCAAAACAUAAAUCUAACAUAUAUGACUCCCAACAUGACAAAAUACAAGUUCAUGAAAAGAGUAAAGUAAUCCAACAACAAACAAAGGGACAAGAGUUGCCUGGGAACAUAAAAGAAAAAUGCAAAAAAAAUAUAAUAAUAAAAUAAGAUGGCAUGAGUUGAAAAGAAGCUUCAAUAAUGAAGGAGACAAUUGGAUUUGUACCAAUAUUCUGUAUUAAGCAAAGAAGGACAAAUAACUACCCAUAUCAAGACAAGUAUUAAGAUUUUUGGGGAAAAAGACCACAAUAACUUUACACUUAUAUAUAUACACAUACACACCAACUACAAUAUAAAAACAAGAUAAAAUAAUUUUUGGCUAAUGUUAGCACACGAGUCACAUUU
RNAcentral lists this long non-coding RNA (429 nucleotides) under Solanum tuberosum (potato). RNAcentral describes it as "long non-coding RNA (STUB_LNC002754)". The record is from RNAcentral. Lineage: Eukaryota; Viridiplantae; Streptophyta; Magnoliopsida; Solanales; Solanaceae.